GUGCUUGUUUCAGCACCAUAUAUACUAAAACUGGAAUGAUAGAGAUUAGCAUGGCCCCUGCGCAAGGAUGACACGCAAACUUGUGAAGUGUUCUGUAUUUUA
This is a small nuclear RNA of Phyllostomus hastatus (greater spear-nosed bat), 102 nucleotides long. The record is from RefSeq and is a predicted model, not a curated record. Lineage: Eukaryota; Metazoa; Chordata; Mammalia; Chiroptera; Phyllostomidae.